RNAcentral lists this transfer RNA (64 nucleotides) under Oegoconia novimundi. RNAcentral's name for it is "tRNA-Tyr". The record is from RNAcentral. Lineage: Eukaryota; Metazoa; Arthropoda; Insecta; Lepidoptera; Autostichidae.
AAUAAAAUGGCUGAGGAAUAAGCGAUAAAUUGUAAAUUUAUUUACGAGAAAUUCUCUUUUAUUA